CAGGCCAAUACCCUUGAUGAACAUCAAUGCAAAAAUCCUCAACAAAAUACUGGCAAACCAAAUCCAGCAGCACAUCAAAAAGUUAAUCCAUCAUGAUCAAGUAUGCUUCAUCCCCAGGAUGCAAGGUUGCCUCAACAUACACAUAUCAAUUAAUCUGAUUCAUCACAUAAACAAAACUAAAGAUAAAAACCAUGUGGUUAUCUCAAUAUAUGCAGAAAAGGCUUUCAAUAAAAUUCAAUGCCUCUCCAUAUUAAAAACUCUAAAAAAUCUGGGUAUUGAGGAAACAUAGCUCAAAAUGAUGAGCUGUUUUUGUACCAGUAUCAUGCUGUUUUGGUUACUGUAGCCCUGUAGUAUAGUUUGAAGUUGGGUAACAUGAUGCCUCCAGCUUCGUUCUUUUUGCUGAGGAUUGCUUGGCUAUUAGGGCUCUUUUUUUUUUUGGUUCCAUAUGAAUUUUGAAAUAGUUUGCUCUAGUUCUGUGAGGAAUGCCAUUGGUAAUUUAAUAGGGAUAACUUGCAUCUGUAAAUUACUUUGGGCAGUAUAGCCAUUUUAAUGAUGUUAAUUCUUCCUAUCCAUGAGCAUGAAAUGUUUUUCCAUUUGUUUGUGUCUUCUCUGAUUUCUUUGAACAGUGUUUUGUAAUUCUCCUAGAGAUCUCUUAGAGAUCUUUCACCUCCCUGGUUAGCUGUAUUCCUAGGUAUCUUAUUUUUUCUGUGUGUAGCAAUUAUGAAUGGGAUUGUGUUCUUCAUUUGACUCUCUGCUUUACUUGAUGUAUAGGACUGCUAGGAAUUUUUGCACAUUGAUUUUGUAUGCUAAGACUUUGCUAAAGUUUAUCAGCAGAAGGAGCUUUGGGGCUAAGACUAUGGGGUUUUCUAGAUAUAGAAUCAUGUCAUCUGUAAACAGAGACAGUUUGACUUCCUGUCUAUUCCUCUCUUCCCUCCUCUGUUUGGAUGCCCUUCCAGUUUUGCACAUUCAGUGUAAUGUUGGCUGUGGGUUUGUCAUGGCUAGCUCUCAUCAUUUUGGCACUUCCGACUAGAAGUGCAAGAGGGGCCAGUGUUGUUGUUACCUGAAAGGUAAGUGCAGCCCACAAAAAUGCAGUGAAGAAGAAGAUAUAUGCAUAUGUUUAAGUUAAUACAAUUGAGAUACAUUUAGCAGACAGAAUCAAUAGAGUUGAUGAGUGACUGACUGGAUGUGUGGGGAGUUUAUAUCACUCCCAGGUUUUUGACUUGGGCAACUGGGCACUCAUGAAGGAAAAAGAGGAUCCAGGGAGAGGAACUUUUCUGAGGACUGGGGUAGGGCUGAACAGCUGCAUUCGAGACUGAUGGAGGGUGGGCUGGGCAUGGGAUGCACAAAUGGAGAUUCCACUGGGUCUGCAGCUCACACAUAGGCAUGACCAGCAUAGAGAUAGAGAGGCCCCAGUGCUGCUGAGUAACUGUGAUUCCCCAGGUGAUGGCAUCAGCUGAGAAGGGAAGGAAGCCUAUGUGAGGACACUGAAGAAGGAGUGAGCAGACAAUAAGAAGCCCACAGAAGACAGAGAAGGAACAACUAGAGGGAGAAGCCAAGGCAGGCAUGUGUGGUAACAUAUAGGAACUGAGGGAGAGGACAUUUCAAGAUGGAGAGGAUGCCAUACAACAGGACUAUGUGAUGGUUUUUGGCUGUGUCCAUAGGAAGUCACAACAGGCAAGGGAAAGAAACCAGAACCCAGUCAUGGAGUUAAGAAGUGAGUCAGAGAGGAGAUGGGUAGGGACAGUGAGGUAAGGCCUCUUUUUAAGGAAGUUUGGCUGAAGGAUAGACUAGCUGGACACAUGCUGGCUGUGUGGGGUAGAGGGAGGAAUGAUGGAGGGUAGGAGAGCCUUGAGCCUGCGAGAAGAGUCUCCUAGAAUAGAGAAGCUGAGGUUAAAGUUGUGGAAGACAGUGGGGAUAACUGAGUGACAGAUAAUCAGGAGAAGAAAAGGAGAUCCAGAAUCAUGACAGAGAGAUGACCUUUGCCAAGAGCACAGCCAUCUUUCACUGUCACAGAGAGGUAGGACAAAACGAUUGGUGUUCAAGAAUUGGUUUGUAGCACAAUAUUUCAACUAUGUCCUUUAAAAAGUUUCUCCACAGACACUACCCAAAGCAGUCCUUCACUACAGUGGCAGACAGACCUGAAAAUUUUCAUCUGAAGCAGCAGAGUGAACUGCAGAGUCAGAGAUAGAAUCUCACUAUGUUGACCAGGCUGGUCUUGAACUCUUGGCACCCAAGCGAUCCUUUUGCCUGGAAUCCCAAAGUGUCAGAUUUACUGAAGAAUAUUUCAUUGUAAUUACUUUUUAUACUUUAUAGGUCAAGAGCUCUGUUUUAAAGACAAAAUUUAUUGAAUAUACUUUUUCAAACAAA
Molecule: long non-coding RNA, 2367 nt
Filed under: Pan troglodytes (chimpanzee)
Lineage: Eukaryota; Metazoa; Chordata; Mammalia; Primates; Hominidae
Description: lincRNA
Source: RNAcentral